CGUCGCAUUAGCUAGUUGGUGAGGUAACGGCUCACCAAGGCAACGAUGCGUAGCCGACCUGAGAGGGUGAUCGGCCACACUGGGACUGAGACACGGCCCAGACUCUACGGGAGGCAGCAGUAGGGAAUCUUCCGCAAUGGACGAAAGUCUGACGGAGCAACGCCGCGUGAGUGAUGAAGGCUUUCGGGUCGUAAAACUCUGUUGUUAGGGAAGAACAAGUGCUAGUUGAAUAAGCUGGCACCUUGACGGUACCUAACCAGAAAGCCACGGCUAACUACGUGCCAGCAGCCGCGGUAAUACGUAGGUGGCAAGCGUUAUCCGGAAUUAUUGGGCGUAAAGCGCGCGCAGGUGGUUUCUUAAGUCUGAUGUGAAAGCCCACGGCUCAACCGUGGAGGGUCAUUGGAAACUGGGAGACUUGAGUGCAGAAGAGGAAAGUGGAAUUCCAUGUGUAGCGGUGAAAUGCGUAGAGAUAUGGAGGAACACCAGUGGCGAAGGCGACUUUCUGGUCUGUAACUGACACUGAGGCGCGAAAGCGUGGGGAGCAAACAGGAUUAGAUACCCUGGUAGUCCACGCCGUAAACGAUGAGUGCUAAGUGUUAGAGGGUUUCCGCCCUUUAGUGCUGAAGUAACGCAUUAAGCACGCCGC
RNAcentral lists this ribosomal RNA (646 nucleotides) under Bacillus thuringiensis. Its description in RNAcentral is "bacterial SSU rRNA". It matches the Rfam family "Bacterial small subunit ribosomal RNA", at positions 234 to 872 of the family's 1533-position model. The record is from RNAcentral. Lineage: Bacteria; Bacillati; Bacillota; Bacilli; Caryophanales; Bacillaceae.